UACGGAGGGUGCGAGCGUUGUCCGGAAUCACUGGGCUUAAAGGGCGCGUAGGCGGGCGAGCAAGUCCGGGGUGAAAGCCUCCGGCUUAACCGGAGAAGGGCCUUGGAUACUGCUCGUCUUGAGGGAGGUAGGGGCUUGUGGAACUUCCGGUGGAGCGGUGAAAUGCGUUGAUAUCGGAAGGAACGCCGGUAGCGAAAGCGACAAGCUGGCCCUCUUCUGACGCUGAGGCGCGAAAGCUAGGGGAGCAAACGGG
RNAcentral lists this ribosomal RNA (253 nucleotides) under uncultured bacterium. RNAcentral describes it as "partial 16S ribosomal RNA". It matches the Rfam family "Bacterial small subunit ribosomal RNA", at positions 524 to 776 of the family's 1533-position model. The record is from RNAcentral.